This 268-nucleotide ribosomal RNA is filed under the name uncultured bacterium. RNAcentral describes it as "partial 16S ribosomal RNA". It matches the Rfam family "Bacterial small subunit ribosomal RNA", at positions 793 to 1055 of the family's 1533-position model. The record is from RNAcentral.
GUCCACGCCCUAAACGAUGGAUACUAGAUGUAAGAGGUAUCAACCCCUCUUGUGUCGCAGCUAACGCAUUAAGUAUCCCGCCUGGGGAGUACGGCCGCAAGGUUGAAACUCAAAUGAAUUGACGGGGACCCCGCACAAGCGGUGGAGCAUGUGGAUUAAUUCGAUACUAACCGAAGAACCUUACCCAGGCUUGACAUCGAUCGCAAAUCCCAGAAACGGGAUCCUCUCCCACAAGGAGACGUGAAGACAGAUGUUGCAUGGCUGUCGU